This 1610-nucleotide ribosomal RNA is filed under the name Nocardia veterana NBRC 100344. RNAcentral describes it as "bacterial LSU rRNA". It matches the Rfam family "Bacterial large subunit ribosomal RNA", at positions 1418 to 2925 of the family's 2925-position model. Lineage: Bacteria; Bacillati; Actinomycetota; Actinomycetes; Mycobacteriales; Nocardiaceae. The record is from RNAcentral.
UUGAUAUUCCCGUACCCGUGUAUCCGCGCCCAAUGGCGAAUCAUCUGUGCUAACCAUCCAAAUGUGGACGGAUCUCCUUCGGGAGACCUGAAGCGGCUGCAUGGGACCCUGGGUGUAGUAGUCAAGCGAUGGGGUGACGCAGGAAGGUAGCUGGGCCCGGUGGUGGAUUACCGGGUGUAAGCCUGUAGGGCGUUGUGUAGGCAAAUCCGCACAGCAUAUGGCCUGAGAGGUGAUGCGUAGCCGGUUGAGGUGAAUUCAGUGAUCCUAUGCUGCCGAGAAAAGCCUCUAGUGAGUUGGUACACGGCCCGUACCCCAAACCGACACAGGUGGUCAGGUAGAGAAUACUAAGGCGAUCGAGAUAACUGUGGUGAAGGAACUCGGCAAAAUACCUCCGUAACUUCGGGAGAAGGAGGGCCUGAUCUGGUGAACCGUCUUGCAUGGGGAGCUGGGUUGGGUCGCAGAGACCAGAGAGAAGCGACUGUUUACUAAAAACACAGGUCCGUGCGAAGUCGUAAGACGAUGUAUACGGACUGACGCCUGCCCGGUGCCGGAAGGUUAAGAGGACCGGUUAGCGCAGUAAUGCGCGAAGCUGAGAAUUUAAGCCCCGGUAAACGGCGGUGGUAACUAUAACCAUCCUAAGGUAGCGAAAUUCCUUGUCGGGUAAGUUCCGACCUGCACGAAUGGCGUAACGACUUCUCUGCUGUCUCCACCACAGACUCGGCGAAAUUGCAGUACGAGUAAAGAUGCUCGUUACGCGCGGCAGGACGAAAAGACCCCGGGACCUUCACUAUAGCUUGGUAUUGGUGUUCGGUACGGUUUGUGUAGGAUAGGUGGGAGACUGUGAAGCAGGGACGCCAGUUCUUGUGGAGUCGUCGUUGAAAUACCACUCUGGUCGUAUUGGACCUCUAACCUCGGGCCAUGAUCUGGUUCAGGGACAGUGCCUGGUGGGUAGUUUAACUGGGGCGGUUGCCUCCCAAAGUGUAACGGAGGCGCCCAAAGGUUCCCUCAGCCUGGUUGGCAAUCAGGUGUUGAGUGUAAGUGCACAAGGGAGCUUGACUGUGAGACUGACAGGUCGAGCAGGGACGAAAGUCGGGACUAGUGAUCCGGCACCGGCAUGUGGAAGCGGUGUCGCUCAACGGAUAAAAGGUACCCCGGGGAUAACAGGCUGAUCUUCCCCAAGAGUCCAUAUCGACGGGAUGGUUUGGCACCUCGAUGUCGGCUCGUCGCAUCCUGGGGCUGGAGUAGGUCCCAAGGGUUGGGCUGUUCGCCCAUUAAAGCGGCACGCGAGCUGGGUUUAGAACGUCGUGAGACAGUUCGGUCUCUAUCCGCCGCGCGCGUUAGAAACUUGAGGAAGGCUGUCCCUAGUACGAGAGGACCGGGACGGACGAACCUCUGGUGUGCCAGUUGUCCCGCCAGGGGCACGGCUGGUUGGCCACGUUCGGAAGGGAUAACCGCUGAAAGCAUCUAAGCGGGAAGCCUGUUCCAAGAUGAGGUUUCUCACCCCCUCGAGGGGGUAAGGCCCCCAACAGACCAUUGGGUUGAUAGGCCAGAACUGGAAGCACAGUAAUGUGUGGAGGUGACUGGUACUAAUAGGCCGAGGACUUACCAAC